GACGAACGCUGGCGGCGUGCUUAACACAUGCAAGUCGAACGGUGAAGCGAGUGCUUGCACUCGUGGAUCAGUGGCGAACGGGUGAGUAACACGUGAGUAACCUGCCCAUCACUCUGGGAUAAGCACUGGAAACGGUGUCUAAUACUGGGUACGACCAACCUUUGCAUGGGGUGUUGGUGGAAAGAUUUAUCGGUGAUGGAUGGACUCGCGGCCUAUCAGCUUGUUGGCGGGGUAAUGGCCCACCAAGGCGACGACGGGUAGCCGGCCUGAGAGGGUGACCGGCCACACUGGGACUGAGACACGGCCCAGACUCCUACGGGAGGCAGCAGUGGGGAAUAUUGCACAAUGGGCGAAAGCCUGAUGCAGCGACGCCGCGUGAGGGAUGACGGCCUUCGGGUUGUAAACCUCUUUCAGCAGGGAAGAAGCGAAAGUGACGGUACCUGCAGAAGAAGCACCGGCUAACUACGUG
Molecule: ribosomal RNA, 469 nt
Filed under: uncultured bacterium
Lineage: Bacteria
Description: partial 16S ribosomal RNA
Rfam family: Bacterial small subunit ribosomal RNA
Source: RNAcentral